AAAAAGUAGGAUUUACAACUACCGGUUACUGGGUAGAAAACCAACAAGAGAAGGAAACUCGUCAUCGAUUAAGAUGAACAUAUCAAGGAUUAACUCUCUGAGGUACAAAAAUAGGAAUUACAACUACCUUUUUAUUGGGCAGAAAACCAAGGCAGAGAAUAUCCGUCACUAGUUAAAGUGAACAUAUCAAGGAUAGACUCCUGCGGGGGAAGAAAAGAUAUCCGUCACCGAUUAAGAUGAACAUAUCAAGGAUAUACUUCCAGGGGACUUCACUAAGGAGAAAAAGGGUACUUUUUCCAGGUAUUGGGCAAGAAGUAACAAACUGCAAACU
RNAcentral lists this long non-coding RNA (331 nucleotides) under Lathyrus oleraceus (garden pea). Its description in RNAcentral is "Pisum sativum (pea) long non-coding RNA (PSAT_LNC020663)". The record is from RNAcentral. Lineage: Eukaryota; Viridiplantae; Streptophyta; Magnoliopsida; Fabales; Fabaceae.